RNAcentral lists this non-coding RNA (29 nucleotides) under Rattus norvegicus (Norway rat). Lineage: Eukaryota; Metazoa; Chordata; Mammalia; Rodentia; Muridae. The record is from RNAcentral.
AGACACUGUGUCUGGGUUGAGUCUAUAGC